Mytilus californianus (California mussel) is the source of this 318-nucleotide long non-coding RNA. RefSeq lists it as uncharacterized. The transcript is spliced from 3 exons. The record is from RefSeq and is a predicted model, not a curated record. NCBI's taxonomy places the organism in Eukaryota, Metazoa, Mollusca, Bivalvia, Mytilida, Mytilidae.
UAUAAUUAAUAUCAAAUCAACUUAGAAUGCAGAGGCGGAACGGAGCUCUUCAGAAAAGGAUUUGCACAUUGGAUUUACUUCAGACCAUGGCUAUCAAUCAUGGCAGACAUUGCAGAUCGACCUUCCACCUCUCAGCCACUGGUCAUUUUCAGGGGUGGAACCAACGCAGCUUCAACACAGUUUUAGUUUGUGAUAAGGUCAGUUCAAAGGAAAGCAAUAGUGGAAGGUCAAUGGUACUUGGUAGACAGUUAUAAAUAAGCAUUGGCACAGCUCAUUUCCAGAUGCAGAUAAGAAGAGGAAUGUCACCUGUUAUAAGUG